AUGAAGAAAAGAAUGGUUAGUGCCCAUGCACAAGAAAUGAACAUCAUGUAUCUGAGUGCAUCUACCAUAUUUGAGAAGUAUUGUGACAGUUGGGUGAUGAAGGCCGAUCCUAGGACAUCUAUCUUGAGUGGAUUUGGAUGGUUGCAAGAGACUAUCAGUACACCGGGAGAGACCUUCACCAUGCUUAGAAUGAAGCAAUGCCAACUGGCGCACAUUUAG
RNAcentral lists this ribosomal RNA (219 nucleotides) under Triticum aestivum (bread wheat). RNAcentral's name for it is "partial small subunit ribosomal RNA". Lineage: Eukaryota; Viridiplantae; Streptophyta; Magnoliopsida; Poales; Poaceae. The record is from RNAcentral.